AAAUUUGUAUGCUUAUUUCAAUAAGAAAAAACACUCAAAAUCCCAUGUGAAACUUAGUAAAGGAAUACCUCUAGUAGCCAAUGCUAUAGUUCGCCUGAGUACAAUGCUUUCGAGCAAGUAACUCGUACACUUUCAGAUAAUUUUCCGGGGUACUUGGAAAAAAUACUAUAAGGGCUAACCUGAAAUUUUGUUUGUUCUUCUUGUUCCUCUUGUAUUUUCUAUCACAGGUAAUGGCUGAUCCUUAGUAUCAGGCUGAAUGACUGUUUUUUGGCCUUUCUUUCUAGGGUCAAGUUUUGCAGCAGUUGGUUUGACCUGUAAGAAUUCGAACUUGUCAUUAGCAACCAGAGGAAAUUUUUGUUACUUAAGCAUAGGGUACCAUUUCUUCUGCUUUUGUUCAUUUCAAUCUUAGGGAAGAAGACCCUCAAACAAUCUUUAAUGUACCUAAUAUCUAAAUGUGGACAUGAAAAGGUGUGCGGCAGGAAAGCAUACCAUUGUGUUCCCAAUCUCUCGUAAUGGCUGCUUUCUAGAUCCGCAGUCUUCAUUUGUAUCAGGAAUGUUUUUAACAGUUUUAUUUUGAAUCAGGAUAGUAUCAUGAAUCGUGCCUUUCAGUUCUUCAACAAUAUCUUCGGGCAUCUUUGGUUGUGGUAUGUCGUCCAAUUUGAAAGGAACUUUUUUAUUAUUCGUGCACUUGGCCAAUGCGCAGCCACAAGACGCCCCGCAG
This 721-nucleotide long non-coding RNA is filed under the name Gossypium barbadense (sea-island cotton). RNAcentral describes it as "long non-coding RNA (GBAR_LNC004904)". Lineage: Eukaryota; Viridiplantae; Streptophyta; Magnoliopsida; Malvales; Malvaceae. The record is from RNAcentral.